UUUAAAAAGCAAUGCAAUUUUAAUAUAUAUAUAUAUAUAUAUAUAUAUGCAUAUAUGGAAAUUAUAAGUUAUAUUAGAAGAAGGCCAUUUGCAUGCACAUGUGCCGUUUCUUCCCAUUCUUUCUAUUUUGUUGGGUAAUAUUACACGUCAUGUUUCAUCCUAAUUACAGUAUCAUAAAAAAAAAUCAUAUAAAUAUCAUAAACACAAAACAUGUUUUCAUAAAUGGAGGAACGGCUUGCAUCUAAAGAGAAACUCUUACCAAGAUGGAGUGUAUGGGACGACUUGUCCAAUCCCACCUGGAAAGAAUUACACUUAUGCCUUCCAUCUCGAAGACCAGAUCGGAAGUUUCUUCUACUUCCCUUCGCUGGCCGUUCAAAAAGCCGCCGGUGGUUUUGGUGCCAUCCGUAUCCUCAGUCGCCCUGGCACGCCCGUCCCUUUCCCGCAACCAGCCGGAGACUUCACCAUCCUCAUCGGGGAUUGGUAUACUGGGGAAGACCACAAGGUUUAUAUCUUAAUUAUUAACUUAUCAUGUUUGCUUAGCACAACGGCUGGCUCAAGAUUAUUGUGGGUUUACAUGGCGAUUUUUAAUUUUAUUUUUGGAUUCACAUUGGAUUUCUAGACCUUUUUAUUAAAUAAUGUUUGUUUUUAAAAAGUGUUACUAAUCCACACGUAGGAUUUAAAGGCACGUUUGGAUGGAGGACGCAUGAUACCUAGGCCUUAUAGUGUUUUGAUCAAUGGCAAUGAAGACACCGCCUCUACUUCUCUAACUGUCGACAAAGGUUAAUGUUUAAAACUCCAAACUCUAAUAUGUUAGUUACAAAGAAGAGCAUUUUCGCGAUCUCAUCAUCACUUUCAUGGGUUAAUAAUUAACAGGUAAAACGUACAGAUUCAGAAUAUCAAAUGUGGGGCUUCAACUGUCCCUAAACUUCGAAAUAUUAGGUCAUAUGUUGAAGCUCGUUGAGGUCGAGGGAACCUACACAAUCCAAACCAAGUUCACUUCACUCGACAUUCACGUUGGUCAAUCUUACUCUGUCCUGGUCACCAUGGACCAGCCUCCCCAAAACUAUUCGAUUGUCGUGGGGACGAGAUUCACUGACUCACGAUCUACGAAUAGAAUUAUUCUUCACUACUCCAACUCCAAAAGCUCUAAAUUUGUCCCUAAUAGACAACCUGACAAUGACAUAGACUUUUCGAUUAAACAGGCUCGGUCCAUUAAGACUAACCUGACUGCGUCCAGGCAAAGGCAAGAUGCUCAGGGCUCAUACCAUUAUGGUCGAAUCAAGAUUUCUAGGACAUUAAUACUUGAAAGCUCAGCAGGCGUUGUGAACAGGAAGCAACGAUAUGCCAUAAAUGGCGUAUCAUUCGUUCCUGCUGAUACUCCACUGAAGCUAGCAGAUUAAUGAACAGGAAGCAACGAAAUGCAAUAAAUGGCGUAUCAUUCGCUCCUGCUGAUACUCCACUGAAGCUAGCAGAUUACUUUAAGAUCAAAGGUGUUUUCAAAGUAGGAAGCAUCCCAGAUAAGCCUGGAAGAGCAGGGAUCAGACUAGAAACAGCAGUGAUGGGAGUACACCACAAGGAUUUUCUUGAGAUCGUCUUUCAAAACCGCGAGAAGUACGUCCAGACUUACCAUCUCGAUGGAUACAACUUCUGGGUUGUCGGGUGAGAACAAUAACUUAAUCAUAUACUAUGGUAAUGAUAUUAAGCAUUGAAGGUCAUUGACGUAUGUGACUUCUCAACAGGAUUGGUAAUCGAUGGUCUACAUGGUCACAGGCGAGCAGACGAGACUAUAACCUCAGGGAUGCUAUUUCUCGCUCCACUACUCAGGUGACGUGAACUCUCUCCAUAUAUCUAUACAGUUUUGGAAUUUGUUGUCAAUAGAUUUUAUGCAAAGCUCAUACAAUUCCCCGUGGGGCACGUCCCCUCCCAGCUGAAAUUUAGUCACCAAUGAUAAUUUGAUCAUCAAUGUUCACAAUGAUCUGGACGAGCCUUUUCUCUUGUCUUGGUAUCUAUUUAUUUACCUCUUUCGUUUCACCUUUCGGUAAACAUAAUUUGAACCCGAUUCACAUGAAAUAUUUCUACAUCCAUUUAAAAAGCAAUGCAAUUUUAAUAUAUAUAUAUAUAUAUAUAUAUGCAUAUAUGGAAAUUAUAAGUUAUAUUAGAAGAAGGCCAUUUGCAUGCACAUGUGCCGUUUCUUCCCAUUCUUUCUAUUUUGUUGGGUAAUAUUACACGUCAUGUUUCAUCCUAAUUACAGUAUCAUAAAAAAAAAUCAUAUAAAUAUCAUAAACACAAAACAUGUUUUCAUAAAUGGAGGAACGGCUUGCAUCUAAAGAGAAACUCUUACCAAGAUGGAGUGUAUGGGACGACUUGUCCAAUCCCACCUGGAAAGAAUUACACUUAUGCCUUCCAUCUCGAAGACCAGAUCGGAAGUUUCUUCUACUUCCCUUCGCUGGCCGUUCAAAAAGCCGCCGGUGGUUUUGGUGCCAUCCGUAUCCUCAGUCGCCCU
This 2503-nucleotide long non-coding RNA is filed under the name Brassica napus (rape). RNAcentral's name for it is "long non-coding RNA (BNAP_LNC005155)". Lineage: Eukaryota; Viridiplantae; Streptophyta; Magnoliopsida; Brassicales; Brassicaceae. The record is from RNAcentral.